RNAcentral lists this ribosomal RNA (44 nucleotides) under Rhodotorula mucilaginosa. RNAcentral's name for it is "partial 28S ribosomal RNA". The record is from RNAcentral. Lineage: Eukaryota; Fungi; Basidiomycota; Microbotryomycetes; Sporidiobolales; Sporidiobolaceae.
GAUUAGAUCUCAAAUCAGGUAGGACUACCCGCUGAACUUAAGCA